AUGGGCUUGUAUCAUGUUGGAGCCCCUCCAUGUGCCUCUACUGCAAGACAGGAGCAUCUCAGCCUUGCAGCCUGGAUGGCAGGUCCAGGUGCACCAGCACCAUCUCCUCGAAAACACGCACGGGGCCGCCGAAGAAACCACGGCAGUGAGAACGCAUCCUCUCUUUCCUCACAGCCUAUCAGCGUCAUUACGACUUUCAGCAAAGGCCGAACCCAUGGGACCGAAGAGGCUGAGACAUCUGCUGUGCGCUGGCCAAGGAUCAGUGGGUUUCUGAUAAGAAGUGCACCUUGGGCUUCUGUUAGAAAAGUGGGGCUCACUGUCUGGAUGAACGAGACAAUAAUUUGACUGGUGUCUCCUGAGCUUGUGUAGUGUACACCUUGCAGAGCUGUAUGUAGUGGCACCGCUAGUUCCCGAUGGACCAAGAGAGAGCUGGUGCCCGGGGACUUUUUGUUCGGUAGAUAGAUAAAUGAAAGCAAUGGUGCCAUUACCACCCUUGUCACUUCCCUACUAAGGAAGAGGUGACAGGCAACCCUGACAAAACAGGUCACACUUGACUUGAUCCAGCUAUAGAAAUCACCAAAGCUGCUGCGUUGGGGAGGAAACAGAGAGGCCGUGACUCUGACAGUUAUUAGUAGAAACAUGCCUCUUGAAGGUCUCUCUCCAUUCCUUGGUAUGGGUGACAAUUUGAGGCUGUGUUAUACCGCAAAGAAGUAUCUGUUCAGUGAAUGAGUGGCUGAGUGAAUGCCCUGAGAGGCAGUAGAAGCGGAGGGAUUCCGCAGGUCCCACAAGUUCGACGGUAGGGAUGACUUAGGUUGAAAUCCCUCUUUUGCUGCUUACUAGCUGGGUGGCCUUACUAGAAAGUAAUUUGGCUUUUCUGAGACUCAGUUUUCAAAUUGGUAAUAUAAGGUAAUUGGUAAUAUAUUGUAGGGGUAAAGGAGUUUUUUUUUUUCCUAAUCGCCCAAGUUGGGCUCAAAUUUUUAUUUUAUAAAACAAUAAGACAAAAUUUCACAAUCAAAUAAUAAGAGAAUAACAGCAGUUAUUAUACUGUGAAUCAUUAUCUUCAAAGUAGUUACUCAGAGUACAAGACAUAAACCAAAAAGGUUCUUACAAAAAAGGAAACAAAUAGAUGACACAAACUUUCUUUUCAAUGAACUAGUAAUGUAAAUGAAGCCAAUUAGUGUAUAUAUUGAAAUAAUUUUUAAACAAUAGAAUUUGUAUUUUGAGGAAGUAGUUGAACUCCCUAAUUCCUAUCUCUUCAAUUUUGUUCUUUAUUUGCAUAUAUAUAUUCUUUAUUUGUGUAUAUAUGUUCUUUAUAUAUAUAUAUAUAAUAUAAGAAACUGUCUGAUAUUUUAGCUUGUGUGUCUGACCUAUUUCAUUUAUCAUCAUGUUCUCAAGUUGUAUCCAUUUACCUAUGAGUGCCUCAAGUUUACCUUUCUUAUGGCAGCAUAGUACUCCAAUAUAUGUAAAUAGCAUAUUUUCCUUAUCCAUUUAUUUACUGAUGGCCAUAUGCACUGUUUCCAAUCUAUUGCAAAUUGUGCUGCUAUAAACAUGGGUAUGCAUGUAUGAUUGCUAUAGCUUGUACCUAGAUGUCUCCACAAAGCCUCAUGUUCUCAUAGGUGAGGUCUUUCAGAUGUGGCUGGAUCUAGAGCAUGUGAAUAUGGAAUAAGGGUGUGUAACAACAAAUUUAGUCCACUGAGUGGUUUAGUAUGGUUCUGGGCAUGGAUAAUGGGAAGCCCUACCUUGGGUGCGGGUGGUACCAACAAAUAGGCUUGUUGCCUGGAUAGAAUACAUAUGGAAAAGAAGACUCACUGCUUCUUCCUGCCUGCCCUGCCAUGGACUGUUUCUCUUCUGCCACAUCCCUCUGCCAUGCCACCUUGCCUUGGAGCCAGCUGACUGGACUGAAACUUCUACAGACUGUGAGCUAAAAUAAACCUUUCUUCCU
This 1942-nucleotide long non-coding RNA is filed under the name Chinchilla lanigera (long-tailed chinchilla). Its description in RNAcentral is "lncRNA (ENSCLAG00000026539.1)". Lineage: Eukaryota; Metazoa; Chordata; Mammalia; Rodentia; Chinchillidae. The record is from RNAcentral.